This is a non-coding RNA of Tetranychus urticae (two-spotted spider mite), 389 nucleotides long. Lineage: Eukaryota; Metazoa; Arthropoda; Arachnida; Trombidiformes; Tetranychidae. The record is from RefSeq and is a predicted model, not a curated record.
AAUAGAGAUGGCAUGCUCGAUGCCAGAUGCUGCUGAAUGUUUCCGCAAUGAAAACAAUGUCUAAGGUUAUGGAGAUCAUGGAUCGAGUUGCUGGACCAUACAAUGGUGUCAAAAUAGGAGACUUUUUUACUCUCGAGAAACGCUUUUUCAUUUUAGUAAGAUUCCAAUCGAAUCUUGUUUUCUAUUGAAACUAAAUUUAUUUUCUUUUAGUUUAUUAUGGAAAAUUUAUCAAUUUUGAUGCGAUUUACGGUAAACAUUGGACCCUUGAGUGUAACGUAAAUCUUGCUGAUUGAACAAUAAAAAUCAAUUUGAUUCUAACUUUAACUGUUAAGCGGUUUUAUAAUACUCUAAUGCCGUUGUCCCACUAUAAUAAAUAUUUCUCAUCUCAA